Long non-coding RNA from Etheostoma cragini (Arkansas darter), 128 nucleotides. RefSeq lists it as uncharacterized. The transcript is spliced from 3 exons. NCBI's taxonomy places the organism in Eukaryota, Metazoa, Chordata, Actinopteri, Perciformes, Percidae. The record is from RefSeq and is a predicted model, not a curated record.
GUCAGGAGAGGGGGAAGACAUGCAGGAAAUAGUCACAGAUCAGAUUCAAACCCUGGAUCACUGCAUCAAGGCAUAAACCUCUCAGUAUAUGUGCGCCGGCUCAACCACUGAGCCAACCUGGCCACAUG